AGGGCCUCAAAUCAGACAAGAGUACCCGCUGAACUUAAGCAUAUCAAUAAGCGGAGGAAAAGAAACUAACAAGGAUUCCCCUAGUAACGGCGAGUGAAGAGGGAAGAGCUCAAAUUUUAAAUCCGCCUUGUUCGCAAGGCCGAGUUGUAAUUUGAAGAAGCGUUUUCUUGGGCUCGCUGCCGGUAGAAGUUCUUUGGAUCAGGACAUCAUAGAGGGUGACAAUCCCGUCUGUGACCGGUCGCGCGGUUCAUCUACGAUACGCUUUCAAAGAGUCGAGUUGUUUGGGAUUGCAGCUCCAAACGGGUGGUAAACAUCACCUAAGGCUAAAUAUUGGCGAGAGACCGAUAGCGAACAAGUACCGUGAGGGAAAGAUGAAAAGAACUUUGAAAAGAGAGUUAAACAGUACGUGAAAUUGUUGAAAGGGAAACGAUUGAAG
RNAcentral lists this ribosomal RNA (436 nucleotides) under uncultured Paraglomus. Its description in RNAcentral is "eukaryotic LSU rRNA". It matches the Rfam family "Eukaryotic large subunit ribosomal RNA", at positions 1 to 428 of the family's 3401-position model. The record is from RNAcentral. Lineage: Eukaryota; Fungi; Glomeromycota; Glomeromycetes; Paraglomerales; Paraglomeraceae.